UUUUUUUUACUGCAGUAAAAACGACGAAGACAUGAGGAGAUUUGGUUUUCACCUUGUCCCAUUCCAAAACCUGUUAUUUCUUGAGCCAACUAAAUUAGAGGCAGGAACAAUGAUCUUGUAUUGCUGUUAAUUUCUGAUCAGUCAAUUGGACUUGAUUUUGGUGUGUUGUUGUAUUACUGCAGGACUACUUUGAUGCUUUUGAAGUGUGUUACGGUAGCAGGUUGUAAGCAUGGUUGUUUGUUGGCUGAUGAUUGUAAGUUUUCAACUGUAUGAACCAUACUAGAUUGUUGUGGAUUGUUGAAUAGGGUGUUGGUUUUGACAUGGUUUUGGCAUUGCUUGACACAUUGCAGGUUAGGCUUAUGAGUUGAUGUUGUGAAUGGUAAAUUCAUCUAACACGGCUAGAAGAGGAACACCAUCACAUAUGAAUGACAUAUCAUGAGUCUUCCCAUGCACGUGUUUUAGCAACCAAUGUCUCAACCAAAGCAGGAAUUUUAUUUACCAAUAUCCGAGCUUUCUCUGCUCGUUUGAGGUUUAAGUGUGCACCUCUGCUCGCAUUAUACCUGUUCUCGUCCCGAUUAUAGUCCUCAAGCCAGCUCUCUUCUUCACAUGCUGACAUCCAUUUCUCAACCUUGUCCAAUAUAUCUUUUUGGCUUAAAGCUUCUUCUU
RNAcentral lists this long non-coding RNA (666 nucleotides) under Lathyrus oleraceus (garden pea). RNAcentral describes it as "Pisum sativum (pea) long non-coding RNA (PSAT_LNC041587)". Lineage: Eukaryota; Viridiplantae; Streptophyta; Magnoliopsida; Fabales; Fabaceae. The record is from RNAcentral.